RNAcentral lists this ribosomal RNA (119 nucleotides) under Pteropus alecto (black flying fox). The record is from RNAcentral. Lineage: Eukaryota; Metazoa; Chordata; Mammalia; Chiroptera; Pteropodidae.
GUUUAUGGCCUUGCUACCCUGAAUGUGCUCAAUCUCAUCUGCUUUUGAAAGCUAAGCAGGGUCGGGCCUGGUUAGUACUUGGAUGGGAGACCACCUAGGAAUAUUGGGUGCUGUAGGUG